AGUGAACGCUGGCGGUAGGCCUAACACAUGCAAGUCGAACGGCAGCACAGUAAGAGCUUGCUCUUACGGGUGGCGAGUGGCGGACGGGUGAGGAAUACAUCGGAAUCUACUUUUUCGUGGGGGAUAACGUAGGGGAACUUACGCUAAUACCGCAUACGACCUACGGGUGAAAGCAGGGGAUCUUAGGACCUUGCGCGAUUGAAGGAGCCGAUGUCGGAUUAGCUAGUUGGCGGGGUAAAGGCCCACCAAGGCGACGAUCCGUAGCUGGUCUGAGAGGAUGAUCAGCCACACUGGAACUGAGACACGGUCCAGACUCCUACGGGAGGCAGCAGUGGGGAAUAUUGGACAAUGGGCGCAAGCCUGAUCCAGCCAUGCCGCGUGUGUGAAGAAGGCCUUCGGAUUGUAAAGCCCUUUUGUUUGGAAAGAAAAGCAGCAGGUUAAUACCCCGCUGUUCUGACGGUACCCAAAGAAUAAGCACCGGCUAACUUCGUG
Molecule: ribosomal RNA, 492 nt
Filed under: uncultured bacterium
Lineage: Bacteria
Description: partial 16S ribosomal RNA
Rfam family: Bacterial small subunit ribosomal RNA
Source: RNAcentral